CAGUCGCCGCGGUAAUACGUAGGUGGCAAGCGUUGCCCGGAAUUAUUGGGCGUAAAGGGCUCGCAGGCGGUUUCUUAAGUCUGAUGUGAAGGCCCCCGGCUCAACCGGGGAGGGUCAUUGGAAACUGGGAAACUUGAGUGCAGAAGAGGAGAGUGGAAUUCCACGUGUAGCGGUGAAAUGCGUAGAGAUGUGGAGGAACACCAGUGGCGAAGGCGACUCUCUGGUCUGUAACUGACGCUGAGGAGCGAAAGCGUGGGGAGCGAACAGGAUUAGAUACCCCUGUAGUCCCUGUCUCUUAUAC
Molecule: ribosomal RNA, 301 nt
Filed under: uncultured bacterium
Lineage: Bacteria
Description: partial 16S ribosomal RNA
Rfam family: Bacterial small subunit ribosomal RNA
Source: RNAcentral